AGCAGCCGCGGUAAUUCCAGCUCCAAUAGCGUAUAUUAAAGUUGUUGCGGUUAAAAAGCUCGUAGUUGAAUUUCGGGGUUAGUAGGUUGGUCAUGCCAUUGGUAUGUACUGAUCUCACUGAUUCCUCCUUCCUGAUGAACCGUAAUGCCAUUAAUUUGGUGUUGCGGGGAGACUGGACUGUUACUUUGAAAAAAUUAGAGUGUUUAAAGCAGGCUAACGCUUGAAUACAUUAGCAUGGAAUAAUGAAAUAGGACGUUCGAUCCUAUUUUGUUGGUUUCUAGGAUUGACGUAAUGAUUAAUAGGGAUAGUUGGGGGCAUUAGUAUUUAAUUGUCAGAGGUGAAAUUCUUGGAUUUAUUGAAGACUAACUACUGCGAAAGCAUUUGCCAAGGAUGUUUUCAUUAAUCAAGAACGAAAGUUAGGGGAUCGAAGACGAUCAGAUACCGUCGUAGUCUUAACCAUAAACUAUGCCGACUAGGGAUCGGAUGAUGUUAAUUUUUAAUGUACUCAUUCGGCGCCUUA
RNAcentral lists this ribosomal RNA (520 nucleotides) under uncultured Glomus. Its description in RNAcentral is "SSU rRNA". It matches the Rfam family "Eukaryotic small subunit ribosomal RNA", at positions 569 to 1090 of the family's 1831-position model. Lineage: Eukaryota; Fungi; Glomeromycota; Glomeromycetes; Glomerales; Glomeraceae. The record is from RNAcentral.